CCUACGGGUGGCAGCAGUGGGGAAUAUUGCACAAUGGGGGAAACCCUGAUGCAGCGACGCCGCGUGAGUGAGGAAGUAUUUCGGUAUGUAAAGCUCUAUCAGCAGGGAAGAAAAUGACGGUACCUGACUAAGAAGCCCCGGCUAACUACGUGCCAGCAGCCGCGGUAAGACGGAGGGGGCACGCGUUAUCCGGAUUUACCGGGAGUAAAGGGAGCGUAGACGGUAAAUUAAGUAUGAAGUGAAACCCCAGGGCUCAACCUUGGGAAUGCAUUUGAAACUUAGUAGCUAGAGUGCAGGAGAGGUAAGCGGAAUUCCUAGUGUAGCGGUGAAAUGCGUAGAUAUUAGGAGGAACACCAGUGGCGAAGGCGGCUUACUGGACUGUAACUGACGUUGAGGCUCGAAAGCGUGGGGAGCAAACAGGAUUAGAUACCCGUGUAGUC
RNAcentral lists this ribosomal RNA (440 nucleotides) under uncultured bacterium. RNAcentral describes it as "partial 16S ribosomal RNA". It matches the Rfam family "Bacterial small subunit ribosomal RNA", at positions 338 to 795 of the family's 1533-position model. The record is from RNAcentral.